CGUAGGGAGCAAGCGUUGUCCGGAAUCAUUGGGCGUAAAGCGCGCGUAGGCGGCCCUGUAAGUCCGCUCUGAAAGUCAAAGGCUCAACCUUUGAAAGCGGGUGGAUACUGCAGGGCUAGAGUCCGGAAGAGGCGAGUGGAAUUCCUGGUGUAGCGGUGGAAUGCGCAGAUAUCAGGAGGAACACCAACGGCGAAGGCAGCUCGCUGGGACGGUACUGACGCUGAGGCGCGAAAGCGUGGGGAGCAAACAGGAUUAGAUACCCUGGUAGUCCACGCUGUAAACGAUGGGCAUUAGGUGUGGGAGGUGUCGACUCCUCCCGUGCCGGCGCUAACGCAUUAAAUGCCCCGCCUGGGGAGUACGGCCGCAAGGCUA
This 372-nucleotide ribosomal RNA is filed under the name uncultured organism. RNAcentral describes it as "bacterial SSU rRNA". It matches the Rfam family "Bacterial small subunit ribosomal RNA", at positions 526 to 896 of the family's 1533-position model. The record is from RNAcentral.